RNAcentral lists this transfer RNA (57 nucleotides) under Ictidomys tridecemlineatus (thirteen-lined ground squirrel). Its description in RNAcentral is "Spermophilus tridecemlineatus (thirteen-lined ground squirrel) tRNA". It matches the Rfam family "tRNA", at positions 8 to 63 of the family's 71-position model. Rfam says of the family: Transfer RNA (tRNA) molecules are approximately 80 nucleotides in length. The record is from Rfam by way of RNAcentral. Lineage: Eukaryota; Metazoa; Chordata; Mammalia; Rodentia; Sciuridae.
UAGCUCUGUGGUAGAGCACUGGCCCAGCAUGCUUGAAGCUCUGGGUUCAAUUCCCAG